GUGCUUGCUUCAGCAGCAUAUCUACUAAAAUUGGAACAAUACAGAGAAAAGUUGCAUGGUCCUUGCACAAGGAUGGCACACAAAUUCAUAAAGCAUUCCAUAUUUUG
Fukomys damarensis (Damara mole-rat) is the source of this 107-nucleotide small nuclear RNA. The record is from Ensembl. NCBI's taxonomy places the organism in Eukaryota, Metazoa, Chordata, Mammalia, Rodentia, Bathyergidae.